CAGUCGCCGCGGUAAUACGUAGGGCGCAAGCGUUGUCCGGAAUUAUUGGGCGUAAAGAGCUCGUAGGCGGUCUGUCGCGUCUGGUGUGAAAUCCCGAGGCUCAACCUCGGGCUUGCAUCGGGUACGGGCAGACUAGAGUGCGGUAGGGGAGACUGGAAUUCCUGGUGUAGCGGUGGAAUGCGCAGAUAUCAGGAGGAACACCGAUGGCGAAGGCAGGUCUCUGGGCCGCAACUGACGCUGAGGAGCGAAAGCAUGGGGAGCGAACAGGAUUAGAUACCCCUGUAGUCCCUGUCUCUUAUAA
Molecule: ribosomal RNA, 301 nt
Filed under: uncultured bacterium
Lineage: Bacteria
Description: partial 16S ribosomal RNA
Rfam family: Bacterial small subunit ribosomal RNA
Source: RNAcentral